GUAGGGAAGAAGCGAAAGUGACGGUACCUGCAGAAGAAGCGCCGGCUAACUACGUGCCAGCAGCCGCGGUAAUACGUAGGGCGCAAGCGUUAUCCGGAAUUAUUGGGCGUAAAGAGCUCGUAGGCGGUUUGUCGCGUCUGCCGUGAAAGUCCGGGGCUCAACUCCGGAUCUGCGGUGGGUACGGGCAGACUAGAGUGAUGUAGGGGAGACUGGAAUUCCUGGUGUAGCGGUGAAAUGCGCAGAUAUCAGGAGGAACACCGAUGGCGAAGGCAGGUCUCUGGGCAUUAACUGACGCUGAGGAGCGAAAGCAUGGGGAGCGAACAGGAUUAGAUACCCUGGUAGUCCAUGCCGUAAACGUUGGGCACUAGGUGUGGGGGACAUUCCACGUUUUCCGCGCCGUAGCUAACGCAUUAAGUGCCCCGCCUGGGGGGUACGGCCGCAAGGCUAAAACUCAAAGGAAUUGACGGGGGCCCGCACAAGCGGCGGAGCAUGCGGAUUAAUUCGAUGCAACGCGAAGAACCUUACCAAGGCUUGACAUGAACCGGUAACGCCUGGAGACAGGUGCCCCGCUUGCGGUCGGUUUACAGGUGGUGCAUGGUUGUCGUCAGCUCGUGUCGUGA
Molecule: ribosomal RNA, 620 nt
Filed under: uncultured Arthrobacter sp.
Lineage: Bacteria; Bacillati; Actinomycetota; Actinomycetes; Micrococcales; Micrococcaceae
Description: bacterial SSU rRNA
Rfam family: Bacterial small subunit ribosomal RNA
Source: RNAcentral